CAGAUUGAACGCUGGCGGCAGGCCUAACNNNNGCAAGUCGAGCGGUAGAGAGAAGCUUGCUUCUCUUGAGAGCGGCGGACGGGUGAGUAAUGCCUAGGAAUCUGCCUGGUAGUGGGGGAUAACGUUCGGAAACGGACGCUAAUACCGCAUACGUCCUACGGGAGAAAGCAGGGGACCUUCGGGCCUUGCGCUAUCAGAUGAGCCUAGGUCGGAUUAGCUAGUUGGUGAGGUAAUGGCUCACCAAGGCGACGAUCCGUAACUGGNCUGAGAGGAUGAUCAGUCACACUGGANNUGAGACACGGUCCAGACUCCUACGGGAGGCAGCAGUGGGGAAUAUUGGACAAUGGGCGAAAGCCUGAUCCAGCCAUGCCGCGUGUGUGAAGAAGGUCUUCGGAUUGUAAAGCACUUUAA
RNAcentral lists this ribosomal RNA (411 nucleotides) under Pseudomonas sp. RNAcentral's name for it is "bacterial SSU rRNA". It matches the Rfam family "Bacterial small subunit ribosomal RNA", at positions 25 to 438 of the family's 1533-position model. The record is from RNAcentral. Lineage: Bacteria; Pseudomonadati; Pseudomonadota; Gammaproteobacteria; Pseudomonadales; Pseudomonadaceae.